This 506-nucleotide ribosomal RNA is filed under the name uncultured bacterium. Its description in RNAcentral is "bacterial SSU rRNA". It matches the Rfam family "Bacterial small subunit ribosomal RNA", at positions 28 to 492 of the family's 1533-position model. The record is from RNAcentral.
GACGAACGCUGGCGGCGUGCCUAAUACAUGCAAGUCGAACGCACUCUCGUUUAGAUUGAAGGAGCUUGCUCCUGAUUGAUAAACAUUUGAGUGAGUGGCGGACGGGUGAGUAACACGUGGGUAACCUGCCCUAAAGUGGGGGAUAACAUUUGGAAACAGAUGCUAAUACCGCAUAAAACCUAAACACCGCAUGGUGUAGGGUUGAAAGAUGGUUUCGGCUAUCACUUUAGGAUGGACCCGCGGUGCAUUAGUUAGUUGGUGAGGUAAAGGCUCACCAAGACCGUGAUGCAUAGCCGACCUGAGAGGGUAAUCGGCCACACUGGGACUGAGACACGGCCCAGACUCCUACGGGAGGCAGCAGUAGGGAAUCUUCCACAAUGGACGAAAGUCUGAUGGAGCAACGCCGCGUGAGUGAAGAAGGUUUUCGGAUCGUAAAACUCUGUUGCUGGAGAAGAAUGUAUCUGAUAGUAACUGAUCAGGUAGUGACGGUAUCCAACCAGAAAGCC